UAAGGAAUAUUGGUCAAUGGGGGCAACCCUGAACCAGCCAUGCCGCGUGCAGGAAGACGGCCCUACGGGUUGUAAACUGCUUUUAUACGGGAAUAAACCUCUUUACGUGUAAAGAGUUGAAUGUACUGUAAGAAUAAGGAUCGGCUAACUCCGUGCCAGCAGCCGCGGUAAUACGGAGGAUCCAAGCGUUAUCCGGAUUUAUUGGGUUUAAAGGGUGCGUAGGCGGCCUAUUAAGUCAGGGGUGAAAGACGGUGGCUCAACCAUCGCAGUGCCUUUGAUACUGAUGGGCUUGAUUACACUUGAGGUAGGCGGAAUGUGACAAGUAGCGGUGAAAUGCAUAGAUAUGUCACAGAACACCAAUUGCGAAGGCAGCUUACUAAGGUGUUAAUGACGCUGAGGCACGAAAGCGUGGGGAUCAAACA
RNAcentral lists this ribosomal RNA (422 nucleotides) under uncultured Pedobacter sp. Its description in RNAcentral is "bacterial SSU rRNA". It matches the Rfam family "Bacterial small subunit ribosomal RNA", at positions 355 to 774 of the family's 1533-position model. Lineage: Bacteria; Pseudomonadati; Bacteroidota; Sphingobacteriia; Sphingobacteriales; Sphingobacteriaceae. The record is from RNAcentral.